Etheostoma cragini (Arkansas darter) is the source of this 144-nucleotide long non-coding RNA. RefSeq lists it as uncharacterized. NCBI's taxonomy places the organism in Eukaryota, Metazoa, Chordata, Actinopteri, Perciformes, Percidae. The record is from RefSeq and is a predicted model, not a curated record. The transcript has 4 exons.
UCACAUGCAGAAUUCACAGGAAAGGUUUCAUUGACAAUUUUAAUCUGUAUUGGGAACAUGGCUCUCUGUUUAGCAGGGAUGGGAUUCAUCCAAGUGCAUGUGGCAGCCAAAUGCUAUGUGAUAACAUGCGCAAUGCUCUGCAGA